GCCGGCCCGGCCGCGCCCGCCGCCCUCGCCGCCGUCUCCUCCCGCACUCGCCGCCGCCGGUAAGUCCCUGCCUGGAGGAGCUGCAGCGGUCCCCGAGUCAACUUUCAAUUUUCCCUCCCGCUUUGCUUCCUGCUCGCCAUUCUCGCCGCAGAAGAUGGCUGUUUGGAGAAGGGGGAGAAGUUAAGGGGUCGCUGGCGCGGGGUGAAGGAGGACGCAGCGGCCGCAGCAGGAGCGGGCGGAGAUUUCUCCUCUGCCAGCCUCCCUUGGACGGACAUUUGCUGCUGAACAAAGGCGUGAGCUCUUAUCCAACCCACGGAGAAACCUUCUCCUCAUUCCCAUGAUGAGCUCCCCGGUGCAGCCCGG
RNAcentral lists this long non-coding RNA (363 nucleotides) under Dasypus novemcinctus (nine-banded armadillo). RNAcentral's name for it is "lncRNA (ENSDNOG00000051419.1)". Lineage: Eukaryota; Metazoa; Chordata; Mammalia; Cingulata; Dasypodidae. The record is from RNAcentral.